AGCCGGGGUAGUUCUAAGUUAGAAUAACAGCCUGUCUAGUUGAAGGUGCCUCAUUUUAGGUUCCCGGUUA
RNAcentral lists this transfer RNA (70 nucleotides) under Anadara kagoshimensis. RNAcentral's name for it is "tRNA-Asp". The record is from RNAcentral. Lineage: Eukaryota; Metazoa; Mollusca; Bivalvia; Arcoida; Arcidae.